AACGCGAAGAACCUUACCUGGGCUCGAAAUGGAGUGGACCGGAGUAGAGAUAUUGGUUCCCUUGUGGCCUGUGUGCAGGUGGUGCAUGGCUGUCGUCAGCUCGUGUCGUGAGAUGUUGGGUUAAGUCCCGCAACGAGCGCAACCCUUGUCUCAUGUUGCCAGCGCGUUAUGGCGGGGACUCGUGAGAGACUGCCGGGGUCAACUCGGAGGAAGGUGGGGAUGACGUCAAGUCAUCAUGCCCCUUAUGUCCAGGGCUUCACACAUGCUACAAUGGCCGGUACAAAGGGCUGCGAUGCCGUGAGGUUAAGCGAAUCCUUUAAAGCCGGUCUCAGUUCGGAUCGGGGUCUGCAACUCGACCCCGUGAAGUCGGAGUCGCUAGUAAUCGCAGAUCAGCAACGCUGCGGUGAAUACGUUCCCGGGCCUUGUACACACCGCGCAUA
Molecule: ribosomal RNA, 440 nt
Filed under: uncultured bacterium
Lineage: Bacteria
Description: bacterial SSU rRNA
Rfam family: Bacterial small subunit ribosomal RNA
Source: RNAcentral